RNAcentral lists this long non-coding RNA (1757 nucleotides) under Homo sapiens (human). Its description in RNAcentral is "HSALNT0007009". Lineage: Eukaryota; Metazoa; Chordata; Mammalia; Primates; Hominidae. The record is from RNAcentral.
AUGAAGGCUCCACUCCCAGGUGACUUGAAGGAAUUUCUUCUAUUUUUUUAAAUGAACAUUUUAUUGGAGUACAACAUAUGUGUAGAAAAGUAUACAAAUCAUUAAGUAUACAGUUAGCCCUCUGUAUCCAUGGGUUCCACAUUUGUGGAUUCAACCAACUGUGGAUUGAAAAUAUUUUUUAAAAAACAUUAAAAAAUAACAAUAUAGCAAUAGAAACACACAAAAAAUACAGUAUAAGAGCUAUUUACUCAACAUUUACAUUGUAUUAGGUAUUAUAAUUUAGAGAUAAUUUAAGUCACAUGGGAGGAUGUGCAUAGAUUACAUGCAAAUACCACACCAUUUUAUAUCAAGGACUCGAGCAUCCUCAGAUUUUGCUAUCUGCAGGGGGUCCUGGAGUCAAUCCCCCAUGAAUACCAAGGGACAACUAUAUAUAGUCUGAAGAAUUUAAAUGAAAAAACCAUCUUACAAGCCCACAAAAAAACAAAAUCCAGAACAGAGCCAUCACUCUGCAGAUCCUAUGAAGGCAAGUUGCUAGUUCCUGGGGCUAGGCACAAAGACAGGAUUGGUGGGGAGUGGAGCUCCACUGCCACUUUCCUGCUGAGUGACUGUGACCUCUCAGGAUCAUGAUUGUGAGGAGAGUAUCCACUAUGGAAAGCCACUGUCCAGAGAGCCGUGGUGCUGGUGUAAGCCCUGGGAGAGGCCCUGUGAGGAGAGGCCUCUAUUCUGAGGCACACUCAAAGGGCCCUGGAGGCAGGUGCAGUGGCUCAAGCCUGUAAUCCCAGCACUUUGGGAGGCUGAGGUGGCAGGAUCGCUUGAGCCCAGGAGUUCAAGACCAGCCUGGGCAAUGUGACAAAAGCUGGUCUACAAAAAAUACAAAAAUUAGCUAGGGGUGAUGCUAUGUGCCUAUAGUCCCAGUUGCUUGGGAGACUGAGGUAGGAGGAUCAUCUAAGCCCAGGGAGGUUGAGGCUUCAGUGAGUUAUGAUUGCACCACUGCACUCCAGCAUGGGCAACAGAGUGACACCCUGUCUCAAAACAAAACAAACAGGGUCCCCUGGAGCCCCACCUCACAGAGUCUGUGCUGAGGAGGGAAAAGUGAAGCUACCAACCAGGGAAAGGCAGGCCACCAAAGGUAGCUGAGGGCCUGGCUUGAGAUGAGGGGCAGACAAUCCCCCAUGCUCUAACCUAUGGGGGUGGCCCCAGAAGGGUUACCUGAGUGAGCGGAGGGGAUGUGGAGUCAGAGGGAGGAGGGGUCAGCAGGGAGAGUCGCUGCCAGCUACGGCGGGGUCCUCCUAUGGAGGGACAGGCUGAGGUGGGAGGAUACUAGCAAGCACAGGGAACUCAGAUCAGUUUACUCCAGCAGUCACUAAUGGAGUCCCUGUUCUGUGCCUGGCAUCAUGCUAAGCACUGAAGAGAGAGUGCUGAGGCAGACAUGUGGUCUCCACCUCAAGGAACAUCACUCAGUUGGAGGGAGGUCUGCAGCCUGCCCUGCCCUCUACAGCCAGGCCCCUGCCCAUGUAACUGAUGAUGCCAGAGGGCGAUGGGAGGCAGUAACGCAUGGGGUGAGAGCCAGAGCUCAGCAACCAGACAGCCCUGGGCUCAAAUCCUGGCCUCAGCCCUGUCCAGCAGCGUGAGCCGGUGGGCAGCUUCACCCACUGAAUGUGCAUCUCCUCAUCUGUAUAAUGAACAUGAGAACACCUGCCUUCCAUACAGGUGGGUGCUCCACCAGUGGCAGGGAUUAUGACCACAGCAUCCAUUGC